AUAGGCUGAGUCCGUUGCAGUUACAGUCAGCCAAUGGGCUUUCAGCAAACACUUUCAGCUGUGACGUGCCAUUCGCUUCAAGCCGAAGUCCGGGAAAACUACUGACAACAGAAACAGCCUCACAGGAUCAAGCGCCGGAACGUCUGACUUCCUGUUUUCAAGAUGAAUCUCAUCAGUCUUCUGCCGUUUCUGAUGCUUUUCUCUUACCAAGUACAAGGUUCCUUUGAGAUGAUUCAAAGGGUUUUGCCAACUGGAGGGAAUUUAACUCUCGAUGUUCCAGAAGAUCUUCCCAAAGAUGCCAUCAUGUGUUUAUUGGUCUUUACCUCAAACUCAACCAAUUACACCAUAUGUUCAUUGGCCUAUUGUCAAAACCUAACAUACAUAAACAUAACAUACAAAGGAAGACUCGUCUAUUCUGAUAGAUCAAUGAUAAUGAUGGGUAUGCAGAAACCAGACAGUGGAGUUUAUACUUUAAAGAUGAUAGGAGAUAAAUUUAAACCUCUUCUUCAGAUCAA
Fundulus heteroclitus (mummichog) is the source of this 515-nucleotide long non-coding RNA. RefSeq lists it as uncharacterized. Lineage: Eukaryota; Metazoa; Chordata; Actinopteri; Cyprinodontiformes; Fundulidae. The transcript is spliced from 3 exons. The record is from RefSeq and is a predicted model, not a curated record.